RNAcentral lists this ribosomal RNA (274 nucleotides) under uncultured bacterium. Its description in RNAcentral is "partial 16S ribosomal RNA". It matches the Rfam family "Bacterial small subunit ribosomal RNA", at positions 523 to 796 of the family's 1533-position model. The record is from RNAcentral.
CUACAGAGGGUGCAAGCGUUAUUCGGAAUUACUGGGCGUAAAGCGCGCGUAGGCGGAUGAUUAAGUCAGUUGUGAAAGCCCUGGGCUCAACCUAGGAACUGCAUCUGAUACUGGUCAUCUAGAGAUUAAGAGAGGGAAGUGGAAUUCCAGGUGUAGCAGAGAAAUGCGUAGAUAUCUGGAGGAACAUCAGUGGCGAAGGCGACUUCCUGGCUUAGAACUGACGCUGAGGUGCGAAAGCGUGGGUAGCGAACGGGAUUAGAAACCCCAGUAGUCC